GGCGCACGGGUGAGUAACGCGUGGGAACCUACCUGGAGGUACGGGACAACAGCUGGAAAUGGCUGCUAAUACCGUAUGAUCCCCUUUUCGGAGACGGAGGGGGGCAAAGAUUUAUCGCCUUUGGAUGGGCCCGCGUUGGAUUAGCUUGUUGGUGGGGUAAUGGCCUACCAAGGCAUCGAUCUAUAGCUGGUCUGAGAGGACGAUCAGCCACACUGGGACUGAGACACGGCCCAG
This 234-nucleotide ribosomal RNA is filed under the name uncultured bacterium. RNAcentral describes it as "partial 16S ribosomal RNA". It matches the Rfam family "Bacterial small subunit ribosomal RNA", at positions 97 to 334 of the family's 1533-position model. The record is from RNAcentral.